RNAcentral lists this ribosomal RNA (253 nucleotides) under uncultured bacterium. RNAcentral describes it as "partial 16S ribosomal RNA". It matches the Rfam family "Bacterial small subunit ribosomal RNA", at positions 524 to 776 of the family's 1533-position model. The record is from RNAcentral.
AACGUAGGAGGCAAGCGUUAUCCGGAGUUACUGGGCGUAAAGGGCGUGUAGGCGGUGGGAUAAGUGGAUGGUGAAAGACCCAUGCUCAACGUGGGGAACGCCGUUCAGACUGUCCGACUAGAGGCAGCUAGAGGAAUGCGGAAUUCGGGGUGUAGCGGUGAAAUGUGUAGAGAUCCCGAGGAACACCAGCGGCGAAGGCGGCAUUCUGGGGCUGAACUGACGCUGAGGCGCGAAGGCGUGGGGAGCGAACGGG